GACGAACGCUGGCGGCGUGCUUAACACAUGCAAGUCGAGCGGUAAGGCCCUUCGGGGUACACGAGCGGCGAACGGGUGAGUAACACGUGGGUGACCUGCCUCUAGCUCUGGGAUAAGCCUGGGAAACUGGGUCUAAUACCGGAUAUGACUCCAUGACGCAUGUUGUGGGGUGGAAAGCCUUGUGCGGCUGGGGAUGGGCCCGCGGCCUAUCAGCUUGUUGGUGGGGUGAUGGCCUACCAAGGCGA
RNAcentral lists this ribosomal RNA (245 nucleotides) under uncultured Actinomycetes bacterium. Its description in RNAcentral is "uncultured actinobacterium partial 16S ribosomal RNA". It matches the Rfam family "Bacterial small subunit ribosomal RNA", at positions 28 to 276 of the family's 1533-position model. Lineage: Bacteria; Bacillati; Actinomycetota; Actinomycetes. The record is from RNAcentral.